GCUUAUAGUUCAUUCUUGAUUUAUCCUUUUCAUAAUUUCUUUCGUGGUUUGCUUCAUUCUUUAGAAUCACUGCAAAGCAAGGAUACCCAUUUGGGUUUUGCUGCAUUUUUCACAAUCUCUUUGUAAUUCUCUCAUCUGGGUUUUCUUCAUUUGCUCUUUCUAUAUAUACAUUCAAGAAGAUAUCUUUAAAGGGGUUUCUUGGAUAUAUCCUUUCUGAGAAUCAGCUAUGGGGGAUUUGGGCGACUCAGCGACAGUGCAAAUAACAGGCAAGAUCAUGGUGCUUGCCGUAAUGAUUUUAUUUAUGGUGGUGGUUUUUGUUCUCUUGCUUCAUCUCUAUGCAAAAUGGUUUUGGUGGCGCGUUGAAGAGCCUAAUCCUCCGGCACGUUCUCGUCGGAACCGCCGCCGUUUCGUUUUUACCCCUGGUCAGGACCCAGUGCGGAGAGGGCUUGACCUCUCAGUCCUCAGAUCCCUACCAGUUGUAAUUUUCCAAUCCAAAGACUUCAAAGAUGGGUUGGAAUGCGCAGUUUGCUUAUCUGAAGUUGCAGAAGGGGAAAAAACGAGGUUGUUGCCCAAAUGCAACCAUGGAUUCCAUGUUGAUUGUAUUGACAUGUGGUUUCAAUCCCACUCCACUUGCCCUCUCUGUAGAAACUCAGUAGCGCCAUUACCCGAAUGCUCCAGCUUCGACAGUAAUGAUUUGCAAGAUAAUAUUCAUUCUCCAGAGGAAAUUUUGGCUUCUGGGUAUUCGACAGAAUCUCCAAAUUUUCCCACAAAUGUGUUGUUUUGGGGGGACCAGACUCAAGUAAGCACUGGCGGCGGAGGCGGCGGCUUGGAAGAAGGAACUUCCACUCAAGCACCUUCUUCUUCUUCUUCUUCCUCUUCUUCUUCUACUAGGCAAGAUGAGAUGCUAGUUAUUGAUAUUCCUGUGCAAAUGAGUGACAAUUUUCCUGAGGAAGAAUCCAAGUCGCCAAUGCCUACACAACGGUUAAGGUCGUUGAAGAGGCUUUUGAGCAGGGAAAAAAGGGUGGCUCCUGGUAGUUCUAGUUCAGUUGAUGUCUAAUCAACGAGGAGAUGAUGUGUAUUUUGUAUGUAAGUCUUGAAAAGAGAGAAAGAAAUUGCCAAUGGAUGACUGAAGAUAUUGCUUUAUCUCGUCAACAUUGGCUUGGUUCGGUUAGAAGUUACAAGUUAAUGAAAUUGAGUCCUGUUCAAUAUAAUCCUUUAGAAUUGGUUCU
This 1229-nucleotide unclassified non-coding RNA is filed under the name Hevea brasiliensis (rubber tree). Lineage: Eukaryota; Viridiplantae; Streptophyta; Magnoliopsida; Malpighiales; Euphorbiaceae. The record is from RNAcentral.